AUUUGCUGGGUGGGCAGAAGAGAGAGCCUGGGAGGAAAUAUCAGGGGCUGUGAACAAGAACCAGGGAGAAGAAACGUUCAGGGAGGAAACAGCAGUCACAAGUGACAGAGAUUGGUGAAGAAAGGCAGCUUGGAAUCUGUAUAAAUGAAAGAGAGAGAUAGAAUGGGUAAAAAUGAUUGAUGGAAGAAUUUUGACCUACUGGGUUUGAGCGCGAAAGCUCACCAGUUGACGGGAUGCUUGGGGAUUUGCAACCGCCUCAUCGCUGCCCCCUACCGGCGCAUAUUCAAAACGUCUCUGCGAAAAGCUGUUAUUACCUUCGGAGCCAACAGGGGCUGCUCGUUUACCCACAGACAGUCGGAAAAAAAUGGCCGCCGGAUCACAGAGAGCAAAAAGUACGUUCUCUUAAAGAAUUUCCAAGUUCUUCCCGCGGCCGUUCAGGAUGCUGCUUGCAGUUACCAACAUUAUUCCCCUGCACUGAGCUGACCUGAGCUUCCCUGCCUACCUCCUGUCACGGAUGUCACCUUCUUUCACCCCUGUCCUGUCAAGGUUUUUGCUUUAGAAUGCUAUAGACCAAAGACGGGCUAAUCAACAGUCUUACACACAAAUCCUUUCGUUCUACUUGGCUACAGGCAGGGCUAAUCUUCCGAAGAGGAAUCCCACUACUGCCUCCUUAUAAGGGAAAAACUCCUCUCAGAGGAACCCAGAACGCCCUGUGAUGACAGAGGUGAGGGGCCAGCGUGGCAGAAUGCACCACCCUGUCUCCUCGCUUGCUUCUCUCUCCGUCGGAUUGCCAAAAAGGGAACGGCACCUAGACGCCGAAAAGUAACUGAAGCAAAGGGAGUUUAAAGAACGCGCCCAGCCGCCUGGGUCUUGAACCCAGUGUUAAUGAGAGCAAAAACCUCUGCAUCCUCCACUGAGCUGUC
Molecule: long non-coding RNA, 923 nt
Filed under: Homo sapiens (human)
Lineage: Eukaryota; Metazoa; Chordata; Mammalia; Primates; Hominidae
Description: novel transcript
Source: RNAcentral